Molecule: ribosomal RNA, 254 nt
Filed under: uncultured bacterium
Lineage: Bacteria
Description: partial 16S ribosomal RNA
Rfam family: Bacterial small subunit ribosomal RNA
Source: RNAcentral
UACGUAGGGGGCGAGCGUUGUCCGAAGUUACUGGGCGUAAAGCGCGCGUAGGCGGUCUCUUAAGUCCGGGGUGAAAAGUUCAGCGCUCAACGCGAACAGUGCCCUGGAGACUGGGGGACUUGAGUGUGGGAGGGGGCAGUGGAAUUCCGGGUGUAGCGGUGAAAUGCGUAGAUAUCUGGAGGAACACCGGUGGCGAAAGCGACUCACUGGACCGACACUGACGCUGAGGUGCGAAAGCUAGGGUAGCAAACGGG